AAGAUGUAUUUAUAUAUUGCUCUUAUGAACAGUAAUUUUUUCUUUUUUUCCAGAUUCCUACCUUUGACUGAAACACCCUUUGGUAAGUGGCUUUCUCCAAUAAAGUAAUCAUUAUUGUGUGUAGCAUCAAUAACAGCUAUGAAAUUUCAGCUUCAUUUUGAUGGAGACUAUCUAUUAGAUAUGAAGUCUCAGUUCUAUUUUGAUUGGGACUAUUUGUACUACCGGCGCAGGUUUCCAUUGACCGGUCCCUGAGCACAGUAGUUGAUGGUGAGCUCCUCCCUUCAUCUUCUUAUAUCUCUGUAAAGAGGGCUGCUUGAAAUUUACUCAGAAGAUUUACUUAGAUAUGUGUAAGACACAUGCUGAAUCAAUUACUAUGAAAGAAAUUAAAAAUUUUUUUGAAAAUUUUGGCCUUGUUUUCCCAGCAAAAAAGUGUGGACCGGACACUAUUUUACCGCCUUGUCCAUAUAUUUAUGAUGAUCAAUUUUUAAUCUUCUGUCGUGUUUAUUAUAAUUUGAUUUUUACAGAAUCACCAAGUGUACCUGCAGAAGUCUCUAUUCCCACUUUUGAAUCACCAAGUGUACCUGCAAAAGUCUCUAUCCCCACUUUUGAAUCACCCUCAUUAAGUAUCAGUUUACCAAAGCCAAAAUACGAUGAUUCUCAAACUUCUCUCACGGAUUAUUCUGAACUUUUUGAAACAGCAGUCUCAGACGAUUCUCAGAAUGUCAUCUCUAAUCUCUCGUUCAGUAAUCAAAAUACUCAAGAAUCUGUACUGGAUUCUGAGAGAGAUAUAUCUAUUGCUACCCAGGAUAGCUCAGCAGUCUCUGUCUCCCAAGUAGAAUCCUUAACUGUUUCUGAAGAUGUACCAGAAAAACCUGAUAAUAUACUUGACAAAGAGUCUGACCUUAAUAGUUCUUUACCGACAAAAAAGAAAUUCAAACGAAGGAAUCAGUCAAUGUAUGCUGUGAGUACUGAUGAUACUUCAAAUUAGUAAUUGAUUUAACAAGCACGAAAGUAGAUCCAUUAAAAGCUUGUAGCAGAAAUGCGAUUGAACGGAGCACUAGACAUGCUGCGAAGUUAAGCAUUAUGAUUUCUCAUCAAAUUUCACAUACAACCCGAUUCGUGCCAAAAAAUUAUUGAAAGAAACUCCUUACCAAGAUAAUAAUGUUUUUUGAUGCAUAAAUACAAACUUUCCAAGCAUGAAAAAUCCAUAAUCUACUUGAGUUAAAUCGCACAUUAAACGUUACUGCAACAGUCUCUGUGGUAUGAAAAUAUGGUAGCCUCAAUUUGGGAGCUUCGGCUCAGCUGUCGCUUGUUGUUCACUCUUUGGACAACACAGGGCGGAGAAGGAACACUGCUGGAUCAAGAAACCUGUCAAAACCGCUAUAAUGUGCAAUUUGAUUCACCGAGGCCCUGAUCUUUCUUGUGUGCAGGAAAUUCAAAUUUUUCAUAACUAGCGCUAAAUCAAAACGUCACUAUCUUGGUUAGGAUCGACUCAUGGACCAUUUUGUCGUAGGAGUUAAUGUCUGUAAUUUUCAUUGCACUAGUUGCGUUUUGUGAAAUUUUGAAGAAAAAACAUACAUCAGAAUGCUUAAACUUGUACCGUGAUUGCUGGUCCAUCAAAGAAUCCAGUAGUUCAGAAAUCAAUACGUUUUUAGGACCGGAUGAAUGUCAAGUUUCUAUGUCCAGCAACUGUAAAGGUAAAUCUGUUGACAAAUUGUAGAAAAACUUAGCGCAUUAUGUCAUCUUGUGUCUAUGCAUAGGCACAAUGGUUUCUUUGUCUUUAGUCUCGUUAGUAUUACGCAGCUAACAUUCAUCAUCAAAGUUUCUCCACGUAACACAUCUUUAUUAAUACAUAUAUGUAGGCUGUAAAAACUUUACAUUCUGACAUAUCUAAACGUUUUUUACUACUUUGCUCUUUUUUGAGCUACCAUUUAGGCAGGAUUUUUUGACCCAGUCUGUUAAUCUUUGUAAGCUUCAUUAUCAUUAAUUUUGACUCAACAAAAUCAAUCAUCAUGGGUGGCGGUAGCCAUCUCCGGACAAAGUCUAAUAUUGUAGAACCAUUAGAACUCUUUGUCGGUACUCUUUCUGGUGUAAAAAAAAAAAAAAAAAAAAAAAAAAAAAAAACAGAACAAGCUUAGCAUGAAUACUUUCUUUUAAUUGGCACCGAGUGAACCAAUCGACAGUGAAACUCUCAGUAUCUUGGUUUACAACAUUGCAGACUCCCUGUAAUAUUUAUUUUUAAAUGAAAAACUACUCGAUGCCAAUGGUUUAAAACUUCUUCUCUUAAAAUUUUUCCUCUCUAAGUGAAGAAAAUUCUGUAAAAACUCCUAAGAUUAUUGUUGAUUUGGUCUCUAUGAAAAAAGUAUAAAGGGAGCGGAGAUUGGUAAACACUGCAAACAAGAUACUUGAUUUUGGAAUUUCAUAGUCAAAAUUUAGCCACCACCAGUGUUUUAAUUGAGAGAGAAAUUUGACCCUGUUCACAUUUUAGAGACUCUCUGACUUUUCUAUCUUAAAGCUUAGUUAUAUGGUUCACUAGUUAGGUAACAGUUUAUCAUUGAAAUUGAAAUGAGCCAACAAAGUUGCAUGCAUUUUAAAUCAUCUCGGUUAUUAUAAAGUGAAGGUAACGAGUUAUGUUCUUGUUGAUUAUUUUUACAAUAUUGUUAUUCAUAUUUGUCACCUGUGAUUUAGUAUAUCAUUUUUGUUGCAAUGAACGGGAUCUUAAAAUUUGACUCAAUUUAUGCAACAGUAAGUGAUUAGUCGAUGGUUUUAUUAACAUUCAAGUUUAGCCUCUAAAUUUUUAAAUCAUCGAUUCUUUUUCUUAUUCAUAAAAAAAACAUACUACUGUGAUCUGCAUGUUGAAUGCGCCAUCACCAGCAAUAAUUAUGAAAGUGCCCGUUGGACAUUGUAUGAUUCUAGCCAACGGAUAACUAAAUCUUCUGAUACCUAAAAUUCCAAGGCAGCAAUCUCAGGGCUUGGUUUGAGCCUCAGGUGCGCAUCCUUAGAACUGAAAGAGGAAUUUGCCACAACAGAAAUAUCAUUUUUACCACGGGAAAAUGUAUUCAAAUUUACGACAGUUGAAUUGGCUCUUCCAAAACCAUCCGAUGUCCAUUUAUUUUUUUCUUCCUGUGCCUCAUUUCUUUCUAGACGAAGUGACUGCACUGUUUGUAUGAAGAUUGUAUGGGAGACAUGCAUAUAACUGGCACCUUUGCAUGUUUAGGAGAAUUCUGCUUACCGUUGGUAGGAGGUAAAAAGGAUUUCCAUGUGAGUAUCUUAAAUCGUUGGAAGGAAAUGUCCAGAUGACGCACAGUAAAAUUUUGGACCUGAAUGGAGAGGAGUUGGAUCUUAAAGAACCCAUUUUUUCAGAAUUCUACCUGACCAAAUAUGAAGUUCUGUCGCAAGUUAAAAAGCUAAGUUUAGUGGCUUUAAGAUGCUCUUUAUUGAUUUUCUCUAUCUAUCUUAGAUUAGGAGGUAUAAGAUAGCAUAAAAUACUCUCGAGUCAACUGUAGUAAAGACCCCUACUAAAAAUAAGUAUUUUCUGACGGUUCUCAGAACUUGGAUUCUUAGGCUUUCACGGAUUUUGACCUUUAUGAAAAAUGUGUUUCUUGGACAUCAGACGUUUUUGAACGAGCUAACUCAACCGUAAUUAUCGUAAUUGCAUCCAUGUUUUCUUGAUAUAUUUGAAAUCUGAUAAGGUGUAUCGAAGACAAGAAUUAAUAACAAUGGAAAAAAUGUCCUGUAGAUACUGAGCAAUUAUUCAAUAACUUGAAGGCGACCUCAUUUUAAACUUCCUGCAACAAAAGACUAAUCCCACUUUUUUGAGAUCCUCAACUGCAAGUUCUUGAUAAAAUGUUUAUACAAAGGCCAUUUGUAGCAGAUUCAUCUUCAGUUGCUUUUAUUUUUUAUAGUAAUCCCAUGUAAAUUUUAAUUUUUUUAUCAAAUUAUUUAAAAUGGUUUUUUUUUCUAGCUGACUCAGAAGCAAUACUAUCUAUUCCAUUUAUUUACAGAAUUUAUCUCUAUUUGAAACGCAGAAGUUACUUUCAUUAGGUUAACAAGAAACUGUGAUAUUAGGUGUUAUUGUAGAAAAAAUGAUUUUCUUCAAUUUUUCCCCUGUUCUGUAAAGUCUAAUUUUAAUCUUAAUGGAUUGGUGUUUAAUGCCACGGUGAGCUUAGUGCAGGAUACCACAGAAUGUAUUAAAAUUAUUCUCACCUGCCUUAAUAACAAUGGCACUCUUCGAAGAAUUUUAAAGAAGUCUAAACCGACCUCAGCUAGGUGCCUAAUUUUUUUUAUUAGAACUAAGCUCACAAUUGAGUUUGAAAUCAUGUAAUCUUCAUCCCAAGAUCUCUUUUAACUGUUAAAUGUUUUAAAAUAAAAACACGGAACACCUGUAAUAAUUGCUAGUCAGUUUUAAGAUUACAUAUUUUCUCAAAAUAUUAAAUAGUACAUAAUGUAACUUCAAGACAUAAAAUACCCACUCGAGGAUGAACUCAAACAUUGAAACGCAAAUUCCGUUUAAAUUUGAAAAGAAAUCAACACUUUUUGUCGUGCACUUAUUUUCAUUGCAUUUUUUGCCUUUUACUAUUGUAUAAAUAAAACUAAAGUAAAAAAUAAUGGUAACAGAAAUUUUACCAAUUUAUUGUUUAACCUAUCACAAACCACAGGACUUUUUUUAUAACCUAUCUGAGGAACAAAAAGUCUUUCAUGUAAAUUUGGAAAGUUCAAAGUUCCCAAGUUUUUUUGUAGGACUUGGAGAGUCUUGUAGUUUCUCUUGCCAGCUUUGAAACCAAUUUUAGUGUGAUUAAAUACACUUCCUUCCGGAUAUAAAUUGGAAAAUUGAGAUAUGUGGGAGCUCCUGCCUUUACUAACAUGACCUGUUACAUAUUAUGCAUUUUUUCACACCUAUAACCAUCCAUUCCUCCAUGAUAUUUCCUUAGGAUAACAGGUACAAACUUCCAUUCCCCAGGUAGAGAGGGCUUUCAGUGAUGAUAUAAGAUCAUCAUAAAUGGAGAGCAUUCGAAUGAAUCUCAAUCCUGACAAAAAUGCAGCGCUUUAGUGUUUUUACAGAGAGGGUAAAAAUUAAUUUAAGACAUUUGCCUUAAGAGCCAGUAAUUUUUCAAAACAUAGGUUUAACAGGAUACAAUCUUCAGAUUUAUAUA
Molecule: long non-coding RNA, 5153 nt
Filed under: Bemisia tabaci
Lineage: Eukaryota; Metazoa; Arthropoda; Insecta; Hemiptera; Aleyrodidae
Description: lncRNA ENSSSA3NGG010968
Source: RNAcentral